Molecule: ribosomal RNA, 253 nt
Filed under: uncultured bacterium
Lineage: Bacteria
Description: partial 16S ribosomal RNA
Rfam family: Bacterial small subunit ribosomal RNA
Source: RNAcentral
UACAGAGGGUGCGAACGUUGCUCGGAAUUACUGGGCGUAAAGCGCGUGUAGGCGGAGCGAUAAGUCGGGAGUGAAAUCCCCGGGCUCAACCCGGGAACUGCUUUCGAAACUGUCGUUCUCGAGUACCGGAGAGGGUGGCGGAAUUCCUGGUGUAGAGGUGAAAUUCGUAGAUAUCAGGAGGAACACCGGUGGCGAAGGCGGCCACCUGGACGGUCACUGACGCUGAGACGCGAAAGCGUGGGGAGCAAACAGG